Brassica napus (rape) is the source of this 1826-nucleotide long non-coding RNA. RefSeq lists it as uncharacterized. The transcript has 5 exons. The record is from RefSeq and is a predicted model, not a curated record. Lineage: Eukaryota; Viridiplantae; Streptophyta; Magnoliopsida; Brassicales; Brassicaceae.
GAAGCCCAUCAUAAUUAAUAAUCGGUGAUCAUCUGAAACGCUGCAAUCACUUUCUUUUCCAUUUAACUUUCGGUUUACCCUGUCUCCUCAUCUCCUUCUCUUUCUCAGCCUCUGAUAAACGUUCAUCUCUCAACCAUUGCAAUGAGUGAUCCCUUCACAUUAAACUCGCUUUACUAUCAAAGCCUGAAGCAUUGUAUAACCGAAAAACACAUGAAAACCUAUAAAUAUAUGAGGGUUGAGAUUGGAAUAUAUCAUCUAAUACACAGGCUUUGAGAUUCUCUUACGUCUAACCCUAGAUCACUCCUUUGAAAAUUUCUUCCUCAGUUCUUCCGAUGCAAUUGUUUCUCAAUCUGAUACUCCCCCCCACGCCCCCCCCCCCACCGGCCACCAAUUUUUACUUUGACCUGAGAAUUGCUGCCAUCAAAGCUUUCACAACCCAGGAAAACAUGACACUGAUAAAAGCUCUAGCACACAGAAAUAAAAGUUUUGAUCUUAGCGGGGUUGAGUUUCAGAAACUGAGGAUCAACUUAAGGAAUGUGCAGGAAAAGAAUUUGCAACUUGCACAGGCAAACAGUCAUACGUUGGAUGUGUGUUCUCCAUCUUUUUAUUGUUCAGUUUUGAGAUGAUUAAGAGAUUAUUUGAAAUACUAUGGUCAAAGUAUGGCGUCUUCGUCUUUUAUUUUUCCUGGCAGGAGCUCAGUACAAACAGAGACAGGGCAUGCUUUUCUGGAAUUGAAGUCGCUCAAAACGAGGCUUUCCUAUUUCAUUAUAUUGCAGCUUCCAUGACCAACUGACAUUGUGUGUACGUUUUCAGCUCAAGCUGCAAGAAUGUAUUACUCGAAUCCAAGAAAAUGCAUACUGAGGGCAAUAGUGUAUAUCAAAUCCUUCCUUGAUAAAUUCUGAUCUUUAACUCUAUAUUGAGAGGUGCGGCUACAAAGCUCUUCCCACGUGUAGAACUUGUGACACCUGGGGAUUUUCAUACAAACCUCUGCAAGUCAACCGAUCAGAUAACUUUUACUCUAUUAUCUUCUAAAAAAUAUCGUAUCUUUUUUGGUCAAAGAUAUAUUGUAUCAUUUUCAAUUGCCUUUGUGAAGAUCAAGAAGCUAACUUCCUGUUCAGAGCUCAGAUCGUCAGUGGGGUCCAGCAAAAUGGAUGGUCUUAUGUUUUUUGCACCAGUUGCAGCACGAAGUUGGAGAAAUCACUGACUUCACUCCAUUUCAACAAACGUGUGUCACCAAACCGGUUUUAACAGAUUUUGAUAAUUCAUACUUAAUCUCAGCUAUACAAUAUCCAUAUUUGAUUAACAAAUCCAACUUAGCACACUGCAUCUCGGGUAACGUGUCGUGUUUGACACACAAGACGAAACUCACCAAGAUAGAAGCAGCCUCACUGGCUCUUGAGGAGGUUUGCCUCCACAAACACACUCCAUUUAUCUGACGUUUCUGCUACCAUUAUCGCUAUUGUCAUUAACAAGCAAAGCUUAUAUGAACUUGCUGGCAAGCAAUACGUCUUUUAGAUUUUGGUGAUGCCCUACAAUUUUACUACCAACCACCGCACCUUCACAGUGUCUACAUUUACUGAAGAUGUGGCUGUGAAGACUCAUCCAGGGUUUCAGGUUGAAAGCAUCAGCACAGUCCCACAAGCCAGAGUGACAACCACUUGCUUCUGGCAGCCAACCGUGACUGAAUGUUGGAACUGUAUCAGUUAAAUGUUUUGUAUGAAACUAAGUUUACUGAGAUAGGUACAUAAUUCAACACAACCAAAUCCUUAAACAACCAUCACCUUAUAAAUAUUUUAAUUAAUAUCAUAAUAUUUUUUUGGUUCCAA